UACGGAGGGUGCAAGCAUUGAUCGGAAUUACUGGGCGUAAAGGGCGCGUAGGCGGCUGUGUAAGUUAGAUGUGAAAUUCCGGGGCUCAACCCCGGAGCUGCAUUUAAAACUGCAUAGCUAGAGUACAGUUAGGGUAAACGGAAUUCCACGUGUAGCGGUGAAAUGCGUAGAUAUGUGGAAGAACACCGGUGGUGAAGACGGUUUACUGGGCUGUAACUGACGCUGAGGCGCGAAAGCAUGGGGAGCAAACAGG
RNAcentral lists this ribosomal RNA (253 nucleotides) under uncultured bacterium. RNAcentral describes it as "partial 16S ribosomal RNA". It matches the Rfam family "Bacterial small subunit ribosomal RNA", at positions 524 to 776 of the family's 1533-position model. The record is from RNAcentral.